GGGGGGGGGAGACACACAUAGACCAAGAGUAGCAGCAUGUUAGUGUACAGCUUCCGGAAUUUGUAGUUUUCUGUCCAACAGAGGGUUGUAAAUAGGAACAAUGAGUUUCGACAGUUUUCUCAUAUCACUAUAACUAUAGUUUUCUAUACUACAUGUUGAAAUACUUCAUCAAAAAUCACAUUUCAUAUUUAUAUUUAUCCGGCGCAGCCUGUCGGGUUAAUACAAAGCAGGGUCAAAAUUGAUAUGUUCUAGUUCUGAAUACUUGUAUGCAUUAAACUUGCCACUGGACGUAAUUUAUUUGUGAAGUGCUAUUUGAAUCACAUGUGUUGAAAGAAAUUACCCAAAUGUCGUCCAUCUUUCCCGAAUAUUCCUUUGAUAUCUAAUGCCUCUCACUUUUUUUU
This 401-nucleotide long non-coding RNA is filed under the name Mytilus galloprovincialis (Mediterranean mussel). Lineage: Eukaryota; Metazoa; Mollusca; Bivalvia; Mytilida; Mytilidae. The record is from RNAcentral.